Molecule: ribosomal RNA, 453 nt
Filed under: uncultured Methanomicrobiales archaeon
Lineage: Archaea; Methanobacteriati; Methanobacteriota; Methanomicrobia; Methanomicrobiales
Description: bacterial SSU rRNA
Rfam family: Archaeal small subunit ribosomal RNA
Source: RNAcentral
CGGUGGAGCCUGCGGUUUAAUUGGUACUCAACGCCGGGAAACUCACCAGUUAAGACAGCUGAAUGAUAGUCGGGCUGAAGACUCACUUGACUAGCUGAGAGGAGGUGCAUGGCCGUCGUCAGUUCGUACUGUGAAGCAUCCUGUUAAGUCAGGCAACGAGCGAGACCCACGCCAACAGUUGCCAGCUCGUCCUCCGGGAUGGUGGGGACACUGUUGGGACCGCCUCUGCUAAAGAGGAGGAAGGAAUGGGCAACGGUAGGUCAGCAUGCCCCGAAUUAACUGGGCUACACGCGGGCUACAAUGGGUGGGACAAUGGGUAUCGACACCGAAAGGUGAAGGCAAUCUCCUAAACCCAUCCUUAGUUCGGAUUGUGGGUUGCAACUCACCCACAUGAAGCUGGAAUCUGUAGUAAUCGUGUCUCAAAAUGGCACGGUGAAUAUGUCCCUGCUCCUU